Long non-coding RNA from Fundulus heteroclitus (mummichog), 473 nucleotides. RefSeq lists it as uncharacterized. The transcript has 5 exons. Lineage: Eukaryota; Metazoa; Chordata; Actinopteri; Cyprinodontiformes; Fundulidae. The record is from RefSeq and is a predicted model, not a curated record.
UCAAACACUGCAAAAAGGGAACUAAAAUUCCCUUUUUGCAGUGAAUAAGCUAAAACCAAGACGUUUUUACCCUCAAAACUAAGCCGUGGAAGACCAGGCCGAUGAAGAAGACGAUGAAGAGAUGGUGCGUGUACCAGAAGACCUCGAAGUACGACCUGCGGAUGACCUCCAUGGACGAAGUGAUGAUGAGGAUGAGGGCCAGCGUGAUGGCCACGCCCGUCAGCCCGGCGAUGGUGGUGAACAUGACGAUGUUCCCUUUUUGCAGUGCAGCGCUUGGUGGAGUUUGAUAGAGCUCACGUUGCUGGUGUAUAUGGCUGCAAGACCAUAUUCACGCAAUUUAAGACUGAGCAGCCGACCGUUAGGAUUUCACAAGAAUUGGCAACACUGGAAAUCUGCCAGGUUGCCCCCCGUUUCUCAACAACAAACAAAAAGCAGUUUUUUUUUUUUUUGUUCCUCGGGGACUCACCGUCUCG